Molecule: ribosomal RNA, 255 nt
Filed under: Campylobacter ureolyticus
Lineage: Bacteria; Pseudomonadati; Campylobacterota; Epsilonproteobacteria; Campylobacterales; Campylobacteraceae
Description: partial 23S ribosomal RNA
Rfam family: Bacterial large subunit ribosomal RNA
Source: RNAcentral
CGAAAGGGGUAUGCGAUGGAAAAUUGGUUAAUAUUCCAAUACCAAUUAUUAUGUGCGAUGGAAGGACGCUUAAAGUUAGUGGAGCUAACUGAUGGAAUAGUUAGUCUAAGGUCGUAGGUUGAGUUAUGGGCAAAUCCGUAACUCUUUAUCCGAAAGCUUAAAGGCUUACAAAGCUCUUCGGAGUAGCGUAAGAAUCCAUGAUACUAUAGAGCCAAGAAAAGUUUCUAAGUUUAGUAAUAAUUGCCCGUACCGUAA